UGAACGCUGGCGGCGUGCUUAACACAUGCAAGUCGAACGGUAAGGUCCCCUUCGGGGGAUACACGAGUGGCGAACGGGUGAGUAACACGUGGGGAAUCUGCCCCUCUCUCUGGGACAACCUCGGGAAACUGAGGCUAAUACCGGAUACUCCGGUUGGAUCGCAUGAUCCUUCCGGGAAAGCUCCGGCGGAGAGGGAUGACCCCGCGGCCCAUUAGCUUGUUGGUGAGGUAACGGCUCACCAAGGCUUCGAUGGGUAGCCGAGCUGAGAGGCUGACCGGCCACACGGGGACUGAGACACGGCCCAGACGCCUACGGGAGGCAGCAGUGGGGAAUAUUGCACAAUGGGCGAAAGCCUGAUGCAGCAACGCCGCGUGCGGGAUGAAGGCCCUCGGGUCGUAAACCGCUUUCAGCAGGGACGAGAGUGACGGUACCUGCAGAAGAAGCCCCGGCUAAAUAC
This 457-nucleotide ribosomal RNA is filed under the name uncultured bacterium. Its description in RNAcentral is "bacterial SSU rRNA". It matches the Rfam family "Bacterial small subunit ribosomal RNA", at positions 30 to 504 of the family's 1533-position model. The record is from RNAcentral.